GUUUUAAGACAGACUUGAAUACUUGUGAACCUGUCCUUUAAAGCUUGUGACAUCUUGUAGUAUUUACAUAAAUAACAUAUUGCUACACAGUGCUGCGUUCAUGUCAUAUUGGAAAAAGCAACAAAAACAUGUUUAUUUA
This is a long non-coding RNA of Scomber japonicus (chub mackerel), 139 nucleotides long. RefSeq lists it as uncharacterized. The record is from RefSeq and is a predicted model, not a curated record. NCBI's taxonomy places the organism in Eukaryota, Metazoa, Chordata, Actinopteri, Scombriformes, Scombridae. The transcript is spliced from 2 exons.